This 271-nucleotide ribosomal RNA is filed under the name uncultured bacterium. RNAcentral describes it as "partial 16S ribosomal RNA". It matches the Rfam family "Bacterial small subunit ribosomal RNA", at positions 85 to 354 of the family's 1533-position model. The record is from RNAcentral.
UAUUAUUUUAGCGGCGGACGGGUGAGUAACGUGUGGGUAACCUGCCUUUUACUGUGGAAUAAUCGUUGGAAACGACGACUAAUACCGCAUACGAUUUUCUGAAGGCAUCUUUGGGAAAAGAAAGGAAAUAUUCGGUAAAAGAUGGGCCCGCAUCUGAUUAGCUAGUUGGUGAGAUAAUAGCCCACCAAGGCAACGAUCAGUAGCCGACCUGAGAGGGUGACCGGCCACAUUGGGACUGAGACACGGCCCAAACUCCUACGGAAGGCAGCAG